Molecule: long non-coding RNA, 384 nt
Organism: Selaginella moellendorffii
Lineage: Eukaryota; Viridiplantae; Streptophyta; Lycopodiopsida; Selaginellales; Selaginellaceae
Exons: 2
Source: RefSeq, a predicted model, not a curated record
AAGACUCGAUCUUUGGGUCCGUCCAACAACAUCUGGCACGCUCGCUCGCUCCACUGAUGGUCUCAUCGACGCCAUCAUGGCUUCCACGACAAGUUACGAUACCAGAAAUCUUCGAGCGAACACACAGGAACACAUAAAGAAAGCAAUCACCCAAACAAUCUGGCGAGCAAAGACGCAAGAACACAUCAAGAAAAAAACCACCCAUGCAAGAACCCAGUUUUAUUCACGCUAUUUGCAGGCUCAGAUCUCCAGUUCCAGCUCUUCCAGAUGGAUUCCUCCGUGCACUCUCGCUUUGUUAUCUGUUUAGAAGCAAACACGAGGUUUGUAUACAGACAAAAAGUUGUAAGAGUUAACCUCUUUCGAGUUUUCGUUGAAUCCCGCAAA